This is a long non-coding RNA of Pantherophis guttatus, 433 nucleotides long. RefSeq lists it as uncharacterized. NCBI's taxonomy places the organism in Eukaryota, Metazoa, Chordata, Lepidosauria, Squamata, Colubridae. The record is from RefSeq and is a predicted model, not a curated record.
CCUCCUAACUCUUCUUCAGUUCUGCUUUUUUGAAGUAGCUGGAGAGAUUUCAGAGGCAACUUCAAUCAUGAGGUUUCUUUUCCUCGCCUUUGCUUUGCUGCUUCUCUUCUAUGUAUCUUCAGGGCAAUUACGAAACUGUUAUUCGGAUGGUGGUUUCUGCCAGACUGGUCUUCAAAAAGAAUGCGAGUAUGGAAGUCUCCCAUACAACUGUGGCAUUAAUGCCCUCUGCUGCAAGCGUGGACCGUGAAACCACCAAUGAAAAGCACCAGUGAAACCCUGGGAGGUUAUUGCCAUCUUCCCUAACAAGAAUCUUGCCUCUCUAGUGUGAAAUAUUCGGCAAUUGUGAUAUUAAUGAAAGAUGUUGCAAACUGUUACAUAACAGCAAGCAGUGAAACAACAUUGUGAUUAAACAAUUUAAUGAAUUUGGACCACA